AACGUAGGGUGCAAACGUUGUUCGGAAUCACUGGGCGUAAAGCGCGUGUAGGCGGCCAUGUGUGUCGAGCGUGAAAUCCCUUGGCUUAACCGAGGAACUGCGUUCGAAACUACAUGGCUAGAGUACGAGAGAGGGGGAUGGAAUUCCCGGUGUAGAGGUGAAAUUCGUAGAUAUCGGGAGGAACAUCAAUUGCGAAGGCAGUCCCCUGGAUCGCAACUGACGCUCAGACGCGAAAGCGUGGGGAGCAAACAGGAUUAGAUACCCCCGUA
This 269-nucleotide ribosomal RNA is filed under the name uncultured prokaryote. Its description in RNAcentral is "partial 16S ribosomal RNA". It matches the Rfam family "Bacterial small subunit ribosomal RNA", at positions 524 to 792 of the family's 1533-position model. The record is from RNAcentral.